This 499-nucleotide ribosomal RNA is filed under the name uncultured bacterium. Its description in RNAcentral is "partial 16S ribosomal RNA". It matches the Rfam family "Bacterial small subunit ribosomal RNA", at positions 29 to 523 of the family's 1533-position model. The record is from RNAcentral.
AUUGAACGCUGGCGGCAUGCCUUACACAUGCAAGUCGAACGGUAACGCGGGGCAACCUGGCGACGAGUGGCGAACGGGUGAGUAAAGCAUCGGAACGUGCCCAAUAGUGGGGGAUAGCCCGACGAAAGCCGGAUUAAUACCGCAUACGACCUGAGGGUGAAAGCGGGGGAUCGCAAGACCUCGCGCUGAUGGAGCGGCCGAUGUCAGAUUAGGUAGUUGGUGGGGUAAAGGCCUACCAAGCCGACGAUCUGUAGCUGGUCUGAGAGGACGACCAGCCACACUGGGACUGAGACACGGCCCAGACUCCUACGGGAGGCAGCGGUGGGGAAUUUUGGACAAUGGGGGAAACCCUGAGCCAGCCAUGCCGCGUGCGGGAAGAAGGCCUUCGGGUUGUAAACCGCUUUUGUCGGGGAAGAAAUCCCUCAGGCUAAUACCCUUGGGGGGAUGACGGUACCUGAAGAAUAAGCACCGGCUAACUACGUGCCAGCAGCCGCCGUAA